AUGGCGGAGUACGACGAGGAGCUAGCGCAUGACCAUUGUGGCCACCAAGUCGCGGCUGCGGGGGAGGGAUCUCCGGGGAUGAGGCCGCCGUCGGGUCAAAGGGGAUGGAGGCGGCCGGUGAUGGCGAGGUCCGGCGGCUCUGCGUGCCGGGCUAUACGGCGCCCAGCUCUUGGCUGCCGGCACCGGGCAGAUCUGGAACCAAGCAGCGCUCCUGCAGCUUCUCACAGUCUCAGAUUCGUGGUGCCUGACAGCCUUCACAACUUCUGUACACAUCGCAACUUCUGUACACAUGACAAGCCUGUAAGAUUUCAGAAGUUAAGAUAA
RNAcentral lists this ribosomal RNA (324 nucleotides) under Triticum aestivum (bread wheat). Its description in RNAcentral is "partial small subunit ribosomal RNA". Lineage: Eukaryota; Viridiplantae; Streptophyta; Magnoliopsida; Poales; Poaceae. The record is from RNAcentral.